GAUGAACGCUGGCGGCGUGCCUAAUACAUGCAAGUCGAGCGAACGGACGAGAAGCUUGCUUCUCUGAUGUUAGCGGCGGACGGGUGAGUAACACGUGGAUAACCUACCUAUAAGACUGGGAUAACUUCGGGAAACCGGAGCUAAUACCGGAUAAUAUUUUGAACCGCAUGGUUCAAAAGUGAAAGACGGUCUUGCUGUCACUUAUAGAUGGAUCCGCGCUGCAUUAGCUAGUUGGUAAGGUAACGGCUUACCAAGGCAACGAUGCAUAGCCGGCCUGAGAGGGUGAUCGGCCACACUGGAACUGAGACACGGUCCAGACUCCUACGGGAGGCAGCAGUAGGGAAUCUUCCGCAAUGGGCGAAAGCCUGACGGAGCAACGCCGCGUGAGUGAUGAAGGUCUUCGGAUCGUAAAACUCUGUUAUUAGGGAAGAACAUAUGUGUAAGUAACUGUGCACAUCUUGACGGUACCUAAUCAGAAAGCCGCGGCUAACUACGUG
RNAcentral lists this ribosomal RNA (497 nucleotides) under uncultured bacterium. Its description in RNAcentral is "partial 16S ribosomal RNA". It matches the Rfam family "Bacterial small subunit ribosomal RNA", at positions 28 to 507 of the family's 1533-position model. The record is from RNAcentral.